GUAGCACCCUCAACUGACUAGUUUUACCAUAACACUUUGACCAAGGGAACCUCUUUGUUCCUUAAUCUAUGGAUCUAGUGGUAUAGAAUCUCAACUGGAAUCUCUUCAAAUGAAAGGCUAGAUGGGAUAUUUGGGCUCUCAGAAGGAUCGACUUCAAUGGAAUCACCAAUGUGUUUCUAAAGUAUGGAGACAUGAAAAAUAGGAUGCACAACUGACAACUCUGUGGGCAACUUAAGCUCACAGGCUACUCUCC
This 253-nucleotide long non-coding RNA is filed under the name Capsicum annuum. RNAcentral describes it as "long non-coding RNA (CANN_LNC012574)". The record is from RNAcentral. Lineage: Eukaryota; Viridiplantae; Streptophyta; Magnoliopsida; Solanales; Solanaceae.